CAGGCUGCAACUCGCCUGCAUGAAGUCGGAAUUGCUAGUAAUCGUAGGUCAGCAUACUACGGUGAAUACGUUCCCGGGCCUUGUACACACCGCCCGUCAAACCAUGAGAGUUGGCAACACCCGAAGUCGGUAGUCUAACCGCAAGGAGGACGCCGCCGAAGGUGGGGUCGAUGAUUAGGGUUAAGUCGUAACAAGGUAAC
RNAcentral lists this ribosomal RNA (200 nucleotides) under uncultured bacterium. RNAcentral describes it as "partial 16S ribosomal RNA". It matches the Rfam family "Bacterial small subunit ribosomal RNA", at positions 1301 to 1500 of the family's 1533-position model. The record is from RNAcentral.